UACGUAGGGGGCAAGCGUUGUCCGGAAUCAUUGGGCGUAAAGCGCGUGUAGGCGGACUGGGAGGUCUGGUGUGAAAGCCCGGGGCUCAACCCCGGAGGGUCACUGGAAACCGACAGUCUUGAGUCCGGAAGAGGAGAGUGGAAUUCCUGGUGUAGCGGUGGAAUGCGCAGAUAUCAGGAGGAACACCUAUGGCGAAGGCAGCUCUCUGGUACGUGACUGACGCUGAGACGCGAAAGCGUGGGGAGCGAACAGG
RNAcentral lists this ribosomal RNA (253 nucleotides) under uncultured bacterium. Its description in RNAcentral is "partial 16S ribosomal RNA". It matches the Rfam family "Bacterial small subunit ribosomal RNA", at positions 524 to 776 of the family's 1533-position model. The record is from RNAcentral.